GACGAACGCUGGCGGCGUGCUUAACACAUGCAAGUCGAACGAGGCUCACCUUUCGGGGUGGGUUCUAGUGGCGAACGGGUGAGUAACACGUGGGCAACCUGCCCCGCUGCUGGGAUAACUCCAAGAAAUUGGGGCUAAUACCGGAUAUUCACUGCUGGCCGCAUGGUUGGUGGUGGAAAGUUUUUCGGCUGGGGAUGGGCCCGCGGCCUAUCAGCUUGUUGGUGGGGUAGUGGCCUACCAAGGCGA
Molecule: ribosomal RNA, 246 nt
Filed under: uncultured Geodermatophilaceae bacterium
Lineage: Bacteria; Bacillati; Actinomycetota; Actinomycetes; Geodermatophilales; Geodermatophilaceae
Description: partial small subunit ribosomal RNA
Rfam family: Bacterial small subunit ribosomal RNA
Source: RNAcentral